Molecule: ribosomal RNA, 390 nt
Filed under: uncultured bacterium
Lineage: Bacteria
Description: bacterial SSU rRNA
Rfam family: Bacterial small subunit ribosomal RNA
Source: RNAcentral
GAUGAACGCUGGCGGCGUGCUUAACACAUGCAAGUCGAACGAAGCACUGUUGAUAGAUUCUUCGGAUGAUAGAUACAGUGACUGAGUGGCGGACGGGUGAGUAACGCGUGGGUAACCUGCCUCAUACAGGGGGAUAACAGUUAGAAAUGACUGCUAAUACCGCAUAAGCGCACAGGACCGCAUGGUCUGGUGUGAAAAACUCCGGUGGUAUGAGAUGGACCCGCGUCUGAUUAGCUAGUUGGUGGGUAACGGCCCACCAAGGCGACGAUCAGUAGCCGACCUGAGAGGGUGACCGGCCACAUUGGGACUGAGACACGGCCCAAACUCCUACGGGAGGCAGCAGUGGGAAUAUUGCACAAUGGGCGAAAGCCUGAUGCAGCGACGCCGCGU